This 502-nucleotide ribosomal RNA is filed under the name uncultured bacterium. RNAcentral describes it as "partial 16S ribosomal RNA". It matches the Rfam family "Bacterial small subunit ribosomal RNA", at positions 28 to 507 of the family's 1533-position model. The record is from RNAcentral.
GACGAACGCUGGCGGCGUGCUUAACACAUGCAAGUCGAACGGUGAAGGGGUCUGCUUUUGUGGGCCCUGGAUGAGUGGCGAACGGGUGAGUAACACGUGAGUAACCUGCCCCCUUCUUCUGGAUAACCGCAUGAAAGUGUGGCUAAUACGGGAUAUUCUGGGUCUGUCGCAUGAUGGGUCUGGGAAAGAUUGCGCCUUUGGGUGUUUUUGGUGGGGGAUGGGCUCGCGGCCUAUCAGCUUGUUGGUGGGGUGAUGGCCUACCAAGGCGGUGACGGGUAGCCGGCCUGAGAGGGUGGACGGUCACACUGGGACUGAGACACGGCCCAGACUCCUACGGGAGGCAGCAGUGGGGAAUAUUGCACAAUGGGCGCAAGCCUGAUGCAGCGACGCCGCGUGAGGGAUGGAGGCCUUCGGGUUGUAAACCUCUUUCGCCAGUGAAGCAGGCCUGCUCCUUGUGGGUGGGUUGACGGUAGCUGGAUAAGAAGUGCCGGCUAACUACGUG